RNAcentral lists this ribosomal RNA (230 nucleotides) under uncultured bacterium. Its description in RNAcentral is "partial 16S ribosomal RNA". It matches the Rfam family "Bacterial small subunit ribosomal RNA", at positions 561 to 791 of the family's 1533-position model. The record is from RNAcentral.
UAAAGCGUGCGCAGGCGGUUUGUAAGACUGUCGUGAAAUCCCCGGGCUCAACCUGGGAAUGGCGAUGGUGACUGCAUGGCUAGAGUUUGGCAGAGGGGGGUAGAAUUCCACGUGUAGCAGUGAAAUGCGUAGAUAUGUGGAGGAACACCGAUGGCGAAGGCAGCCCCCUGGGUCAAAACUGACGCUCAUGCACGAAAGCGUGGGGAGCAAACAGGAUUAGAUACCCGUGU